This is an RNA transcript of Nycticebus coucang (slow loris), 759 nucleotides long. It is a transcript of the gene named protein FAM133B-like, with no coding region annotated. The transcript has a single exon. The record is from RefSeq and is a predicted model, not a curated record. Lineage: Eukaryota; Metazoa; Chordata; Mammalia; Primates; Lorisidae.
GUGUGCUCAGUCGGGCACCAUGGGGAAGCGCGACAAUAGAGUGGCCUAUACGAACCCAAUAGCAAAGGCCAGAUCAAGGGGUCCAAUCCAGUCCUCAGGGCCAACAAUCCAGGAUUAUCUGAAUCGACUAAGGCCUACCUGGGAAGAAGUAAAAGAGCAACUCGAAAAGAAAAAGAAAGGUUCCAAGGCUUUGGCUGAAUUUGAAGAAAAAAUGAAUGAGAGCUGGAAGAAAGAACUAGAAAAACACAGGGAGAAAUUGUUAAGUGGAAGUGAGAGCUCAUCCAAAAAGAGACAGAGAAAGAAAAAAGAAAAGAAGAAAUCUGGUAGGUAUUCAUCUUCUUCUUCAUCAAGCUCUGAUUCUUCCAGCAGUUCUUCAGAUUCUGAAAAUGAGGAUAAGAAACAAGGAAAAUGGAGAAAGAAAAAGAAGACCCGUUCACAUAAAUCUUCUGAAAGUUCCAUUUCGGCAACUGAAUCAGACAGUAAAGAUAGUUUAACAAAGAAAAAGAAGUCAAAGGAAACAAUUGAGAAAGAAAAGGACGUUAAAGGACCCACCAAGAAAAGGAAGAUGUGUCCUGAAGAUAAACCUUUAUCAUCUGAAUCCUUAUCAGAAUCAGAUUAUAUUGAGGAAAUACGAGCAAAAAAGAAGAAAAGCAGUGAAGAAAGAGAAAAAGCAACAGAAAAAACAAAAAAGAAAAAGAAACAUAAGAAACACAGAAGAAGAAAAAGAAGGCUGCAAGUUCAAGUUCUGACUCGCCCUAA